ACACAUGCAGUCGAGGGGUAACAGAGAAAAGCUUGCUUUUUUGCUGACGACCGGCGCACGGGUGCGUAACGCGUAUGCAAUCUACCUUUUGCUGAGGGAUAGCCCAGAGAAAUUUGGAUUAAUACCUCAUAGUAUGGUGACUUGGCAUCAAGAUAUCAUUAAAGGUUACGGCAAAAGAUGAGCAUGCGUUCUAUUAGUUAGUUGGUGUGGUAACGGCACACCAAGGCAGCGAUAGAUAGGGGUCCUGAGAGGGAGAUCCCCCACACUGGUACUGAGACACGGACCAGACUCCUACGGGAGGCAGCAGUGAGGAAUAUUGGACAAUGGAGGCAACUCUGAUCCAGCCAUGCCGCGUGCAGGAAGACUGCCCUAUGGGUUGUAAACUGCUUUUAUACAGGAAGAAACACCUCUACGUGUAGAGGCUUGACGGUACUGUAAGAAUAAGGAUCGGCUAACUCCGUGCCAGCAGCCGCGGUAAUACGGAGGAUCCAAGCGUUAUCCGGAAUCAUUGGGUUUAAAGGGUCCGUAGGUGGAUAAUUAAGUCAGAGGUGAAAUCCUGCAGCUUAACUGUAGAAUUGCCUUUGAUACUGGUUGUCUUGAGUUAUUAUGAAGUAGUUAGAAUAUGUAGUGUAGCGGUGAAAUGCAUAGAUAUUACAUAGAAUACCAAUUGCGAAGGCAGAUUACUAAUAAUAUACUGACACUGAUGGACGAAAGCGUGGGGAGCGAACAGGA
Molecule: ribosomal RNA, 732 nt
Filed under: uncultured bacterium
Lineage: Bacteria
Description: bacterial SSU rRNA
Rfam family: Bacterial small subunit ribosomal RNA
Source: RNAcentral